UCCCCUCUAGCUCAAUGGCAGAGCGGCGCCCUGUUACGGCGCGCGCUACUGGUUCGAAUCCAGUGGGGGGAG
RNAcentral lists this transfer RNA (72 nucleotides) under Pseudonocardiales bacterium. Its description in RNAcentral is "tRNA-Asn". It matches the Rfam family "tRNA". From Rfam's summary of the family: Transfer RNA (tRNA) molecules are approximately 80 nucleotides in length. Their secondary structure includes four short double-helical elements and three loops (D, anti-codon, and T loops). Lineage: Bacteria; Bacillati; Actinomycetota; Actinomycetes; Pseudonocardiales. The record is from RNAcentral.